This 253-nucleotide ribosomal RNA is filed under the name uncultured bacterium. RNAcentral's name for it is "partial 16S ribosomal RNA". It matches the Rfam family "Bacterial small subunit ribosomal RNA", at positions 524 to 776 of the family's 1533-position model. The record is from RNAcentral.
UACGAAGGGGGCUAGCGUUACUCGGAUUGACUGGGCGUAAAGGGCGCGUAGGCGGCUUGUACAGUCAGACGUGAAAUUCCUGGGCUCAACCUGGGGGCUGCGUUUGAUACGUAUGGGCUUGAGUUCGGAAGAGGGUCGUGGAAUUCCCAGUGUAGAGGUGAAAUUCGUAGAUAUUGGGAAGAACACCGGUGGCGAAGGCGGCGACCUGGUCCGAUACUGACGCUGAGGCGCGAAAGCGUGGGGAGCAAACAGG